AGCAGCCGCGGUAAUUCCAGCUCCAAUAGCGUAUAUUAAAGUUGUUGCAGUUAAAAAGCUCGUAGUUGAAUUUCGGGAUCAAUAUGUCGGUCGUGCCUUCGGUACGUACUGGUAUCAUUGGUCUCUCCUUUCUGACGAACCAUGAUGUCAUUAAUUUGGUGUUAUGGGGAGUUAGGACUGUUACUUUGAAAAAAUUAGAGUGUUUAAAGCAGGCUUUAGCUUGAAUACAUUAGCAUGGAAUAAUGAAAUAGGACGUUCGAACCUAUUUUGUUGGUCUAUUUUGUUGGUUUCUAGGAUCAACGUAAUGAUUAAUAGGGAUAGUUGGGGGCAUUAGUAUUCAAUUGUCAGAGGUGAAAUUCUUGGAUUUAUUGAAGACUAACUACUGCGAAAGCAUUUGCCAAGGAUGUUUUCAUUAAUCAAGAACGAAAGUUAGGGGAUCGAAGACGAUCAGAUACCGUCGUAGUCUUAACCAUAAACUAUGCCGACUAGGGAUCGGAUGAUGUUAAUUUUUUAAUGACUCAUUCGGCGCCUUACG
RNAcentral lists this ribosomal RNA (535 nucleotides) under uncultured Glomus. RNAcentral describes it as "SSU rRNA". It matches the Rfam family "Eukaryotic small subunit ribosomal RNA", at positions 569 to 1092 of the family's 1831-position model. Lineage: Eukaryota; Fungi; Glomeromycota; Glomeromycetes; Glomerales; Glomeraceae. The record is from RNAcentral.